GGAUGGGUGGCCGAGUGGUUGAAGGCACCGGUCUUGAAAACCGGCAGACGUGCAAGCGUCUCGUGGGUUCGAAUCCCACCCCAUCCGCCA
RNAcentral lists this transfer RNA (90 nucleotides) under Alphaproteobacteria bacterium. RNAcentral describes it as "tRNA-Ser". It matches the Rfam family "tRNA". From Rfam's summary of the family: Transfer RNA (tRNA) molecules are approximately 80 nucleotides in length. Their secondary structure includes four short double-helical elements and three loops (D, anti-codon, and T loops). Lineage: Bacteria; Pseudomonadati; Pseudomonadota; Alphaproteobacteria. The record is from RNAcentral.